UACGAGGGGAGCAAGCGUUGUUCGGAUUUACUGGGCGUAAAGGGCGCGUAGGCGGCGUGACAAGUCACUUGUGAAAUCUCCGGGCUUAACUCGGAACGGUCAAGUGAUACUGUCGUGCUAGAGUACAGAAGGGGCAACUGGAAUUCCCGGUGUAGCGGUGAAAUGCGCAGAUAUCAGGAGGAACACCGGUGGCGAAGGCGGAUCUCUGGGCCGUAACUGACGCUGAGGAGCGAAAGCAUGGGGAGCGAACAGG
RNAcentral lists this ribosomal RNA (253 nucleotides) under uncultured bacterium. Its description in RNAcentral is "partial 16S ribosomal RNA". It matches the Rfam family "Bacterial small subunit ribosomal RNA", at positions 524 to 776 of the family's 1533-position model. The record is from RNAcentral.